GACGAACGCUGGCGGCGUGCUUAACACAUGCAAGUCGAACGGAAAGGCCCUGCUUUGGUGGGGUGCGCGAGUGGCGAACGGGUGAGUAACACGUGAGUAACCUGCCCUUGACUUUGGGAUAACGUCAGGAAACUGGGGCAAAUACCGGAUAGGAGCUCUGGCUUCAGGGUGGGGGUUGGAAAGUUUCGGCGGUUGGGGAUGGACUCGCGGCUUAUCAGCUUGUUGGUGGGGUAGUGGCUUACCAAGGCUUUGACGGGUAGCCGGCCUGAGAGGGUGACCGGCCACAUUGGGACUGAGAUACGGCCCAGACUCCUACGGGAGGCAGCAGUGGGGAAUAUUGCACAAUGGGCGGAAGCCUGAUGCAGCAACGCCGCGUGCGGGAUGACGGCCUUCGGGUUGUAAACCGCUUUCGCCUGUGACGAAGCGUGAGUGACGGUAAUGGGUGAAGAAGCACCGGCUAACUACGUG
Molecule: ribosomal RNA, 468 nt
Filed under: uncultured bacterium
Lineage: Bacteria
Description: partial 16S ribosomal RNA
Rfam family: Bacterial small subunit ribosomal RNA
Source: RNAcentral